UACGAAGGGGGCUAGCGUUGUUCGGAAUUACUGGGCGUAAAGCGCGCGUAGGCGGGCGUUUAAGUCAGGGGUGAAAUGCCGAGGCUCAACCUUGGAACUGCCUUUGAUACUGGAUGCCUGGAGUUCGGGAGAGGUGAGUGGAAUUCCGAGUGUAGAGGUGAAAUUCGUAGAUAUUCGGAGGAACACCAGAAGCGAAGGCGGCUCACUGGCCCGAUACUGACGCUGAGGCGCGAAAGCGUGGGGAGCAAACAGG
RNAcentral lists this ribosomal RNA (253 nucleotides) under uncultured bacterium. RNAcentral describes it as "partial 16S ribosomal RNA". It matches the Rfam family "Bacterial small subunit ribosomal RNA", at positions 524 to 776 of the family's 1533-position model. The record is from RNAcentral.